This 1549-nucleotide ribosomal RNA is filed under the name Bacillus subtilis. RNAcentral's name for it is "16S ribosomal RNA". It matches the Rfam family "Bacterial small subunit ribosomal RNA". Lineage: Bacteria; Bacillati; Bacillota; Bacilli; Caryophanales; Bacillaceae. The record is from RNAcentral.
UUAUCGGAGAGUUUGAUCCUGGCUCAGGACGAACGCUGGCGGCGUGCCUAAUACAUGCAAGUCGAGCGGACAGAUGGGAGCUUGCUCCUUGAUGUUAGCGGCGGACGGGUGAGUAACACGUGGGUAACCUGCCUGUAAGACUGGGAUAACUCCGGGAAACCGGGGCUAAUACCGGAUGGUUGUUUGAACCGCAUGGUUCAAACAUAAAAGGUGGCUUCGGCUACCACUUACAGAUGGACCCGCGGCGCAUUAGCUAGUUGGUGAGGUAACGGCUCACCAAGGCAACGAUGCGUAGCCGACCUGAGAGGGUGAUCGACCACACUGGGACUGAGACACGACCAGACUCCUACGGGAGGCAGCAGUAGGGAAUCUUCCGCAAUGGACGAAAGUCUGACGGAGCAACGCCGCGUGAGUGAUGAAGGUUUUCGGAUCGUAAAGCUCUGUUGUUAGGGAAGAACAAGUACCGUUCGAAUAGGGCGGUACCUUGACGGUACCUAACCAGAAAGCCACGGCUAACUACGUGCCAGCAGCCGCGGUAAUACGUAGGUGGCAAGCGUUGUCCGGAAUUAUUGGGCGUAAAGGGCUCGCAGGCGGUUUCUUAAGUCUGAUGUGAAAGCCCCCGGCUCAACCGGGGAGGGUCAUUGGAAACUGGGGAACUUGAGUGCAGAAGAGGAGAGUGGAAUUCCACGUGUAGCGGUGAAAUGCGUAGAGAUGUGGAGGAACACCAGUGGCGAAGGCGACUCUCUGGUCUGUAACUGACGCUGAGGAGCGAAAGCGUGGGGAGCGAACAGGAUUAGAUACCCUGGUAGUCCACGCCGUAAACGAUGAGUGCUAAGUGUUAGGGGGUUUCCGCCCCUUAGUGCUGCAGCUAACGCAUUAAGCACUCCGCCUGGGGAGUACGGUCGCAAGACUGAAACUCAAAGGAAUUGACGGGGGCCCGCACAAGCGGUGGAGCAUGUGGUUUAAUUCGAAGCAACGCGAAGAACCUUACCAGGUCUUGACAUCCUCUGACAAUCCUAGAGAUAGGACGUCCCCUUCGGGGGCAGAGUGACAGGUGGUGCAUGGUUGUCGUCAGCUCGUGUCGUGAGAUGUUGGGUUAAGUCCCGCAACGAGCGCAACCCUUGAUCUUAGUUGCCAGCAUUCAGUUGGGCACUCUAAGGUGACUGCCGGUGACAAACCGGAGGAAGGUGGGGAUGACGUCAAAUCAUCAUGCCCCUUAUGACCUGGGCUACACACGUGCUACAAUGGACAGAACAAAGGGCAGCGAAACCGCGAGGUUAAGCCAAUCCCACAAAUCUGUUCUCAGUUCGGAUCGCAGUCUGCAACUCGACUGCGUGAAGCUGGAAUCGCUAGUAAUCGCGGAUCAGCAUGCCGCGGUGAAUACGUUCCCGAGCUUUGUACACACCGCCCGUCACACCACGAGAGUUUGUAACACCCGAAGUCGGUGAGGUAACCUUUUAGGAGCCAGCCGCCGAAGGUGGGACAGAUGAUUGGGGUGAAGUCGUAACAAGGUAGCCGUAUCGGAAGGUGCGGCUGGAUCACCUCCUUU